CUACAUUUCUGGCCCCCUGCUCUGUGUCACUUCCCAUUGGCUCUUUCUCUCACAACAGAAAAUGAAAAUGGUUUUUCUUUUUUUUUUUUUUUUAAUUUUCCUUUUACUUGCUCACUCACGGCCAUAUAACCUACAACACAGUUACACCACCAUCGCCAUCGUUAAGGCUUUUAACAGAGGAAUUCACUAGAAAAGUUGUGGGAGAUAGAGAGAGAGAGAGAGAGAGAGAGAGAGUGAUUAGAUUUUAUGUCCUUGCUCUGUCCUUUUUUUUUUUUUUCUGUGUACAUGAUCUGAUUGAUAAAAUACAUAUACGAAUAUUUAUAUAUGUGAGUUUUUAAGCGGUAUAUUUUGUUUCUAUGGGUUGUUUUAGUUAUCUUCUUGAGGUUGGGGAGUGAUUUUCAGAUUUGAGAACAGGGGAGAGUGGGGUGAUUCAUCAGAUUUGAAAUUUGGUCGGCUCUUUCUGAGCGAUGAAAGGUUUUGAGUGAGUUCUGAUUUAUCGUGUGCUAUUUUUUUUUUUUAAUUUUUGUGAAGCUUUAAUUCAGUUGGAGAACACUUGUUUUUUCUGUUCAAUUUUUGAGUUUUGAAUUUUGUUUUUAGCGCAUCAGAUCCAGCUUGAAUUCCGGGUAAAAAGUUUCAGCUCGUGAAGUAUCUAUCUCCCAGGAAAACUCCAGUUUCUCCAGAAACAAACUUGGGUCUUCUCUUUAUCUUUCUGGGUAACUUCAUUUACGAGAAUUAGUCCAGGAAAGCUCUUAACAAUUCAUUUCUAAAAAUCCUUAUCUGUCAGCACAAGCAAACAGAAUUGGAAGAAGAAGAGGAAGAAGAAGGGAUUAAUGGAGUCGGAUCUUCACCACCGCCGCCACCAUCUCGCCGACCACCAACCUCUCUACGACCAAAAACCAAUGAAUUCUGGCUUGACGCGGUACCAAUCGGCGCCCAGUUCAUAUUUCUCAAGUUUCUCAGACAGAGACUUCUGCGAAGAGUUUCUGAACCGGCCUACGAGUCCCGAAACAGAGCGAAUUUUCGCUCGGUUCUUAUCUGCAACCUCUGGUAAUACCGACAACGCCAUACUAGACCAAAGCUUCAGGGACAUCAGAGACAGCUCUUCAGUGAAGGAACCAGUCAGAGAGAUGGAGCCGCAAACUCAGAUAAUGGCGACCAUUAAAACUGAAACAGAGGUCUUGCAGAAGCAAAAUAGUUACUCCUCUGUUUCUCAGAGCUUCUAUCAGACACACCAGGCACAAAAUCAGCAACAAUUGCCGAAUCAAAAUUCAGGUUCGGGCAUGGAUUACAGAAUGGAGACAACAAUGAGGAUGGAUCGGUUACCACCCACGAAGACUGGGGGAGGAAAUAGUACACCCAAUCUCAUUCGCCAUAGUAGCUCACCCGCAGGGUUGUUCGCCAAUAUAAACAUCGAUAACAGAUUUGGUGUGUUGAGAGGAAUGGGUGAUUUCGGGAGUGGAAAUAAGAGGGAGUCAUCUUUUACAUCUGCAAUCAGGCCACCAUCUUCUUCGUCGGGACUGAUGCAGACAAUUACAGAAAUGGGUGAGAAAAACAUGGGAGGAAAUAGUCCCGAAAAUGCUGGUUUAUACACGGUUGGUUCUUGGGAUGAGGUUGCAAUUUUGUCAGAUGAGAUUGCUGGUGUGAAGAGAAUUAGAGACGAUGACAAAGCUCUCACUAAGAAUGUAGAGGCUGCAAGUAUGAGACCUCCCCUUUUGGCUCAUCACUUGAGCUUGCCGAAAUCCAGUGCUGAAAUCAGCGCCAUUGAGAAAUUCUUUCAAGAUUCUGUGCCCUGUAAGAUAAGAGCCAAGCGCGGUUGCGCCACCCACCCGAGAAGUAUCGCCGAGAGGGUUAGAAGAACUCGGAUUAGCGAGAGAAUGAGGAAACUACAAGAUCUUGUCCCCAACAUGGACAAGCAAACGAACACGGCCGACAUGCUAGAUCUUGCUGUUGAUUACAUCAAGGAUUUACAAAAACAAGUAAAGGAUCAGGUACUUUCAACCAUGCAGCAGAAGCUUGACAAUUUGUGUGAACAGUUGAAUAAUGUUAAGGAACAGUCAGUGAACAAAAAGACAGAGUCACUGUUCACAGAAAAUCUUUGUUCUGAUAAAAUUUCAUUUAUCGACUGUGGUUGUUGGCUCUGUGAUCAACAUCAUGACAUUUUCACUGGAUUGGUGGGUACCAAUUUCAUGAAAGCUUGUGGUGAGGAGAAGGAGAUGCUUCACGUUUCAAAACCUUUUCUAAGUGCAUCAGUAGCAGAACAAGAAGAACGGAGGAUGUCUGAUCUGUCGGAUUGGUCUUUUAGUGUUGCAUCUUCAGCAGAACUCCAGCUGAAUAACUUGGCAAUUGAACAUGAUAUAUUCAAUCUGAAGAAGGACUGUGAAGAGAAAGAUGCCACCAUAAAGGAGCUCACCUCCUUUCUUCAGUUAUCUAAUAUGGCUGGUUCAAAGAGGAUGUCAGAAUUGGAGGAUGUCAUUCGCAGGAAGAACAUGAUAAUUACAAGGCUGAAGAAGGACAUGGUGGUUUUAGAACAAAAGGCAGUGAACCUUACAAGGAUCCGCAGGCCUUCCUCUACCUCAAGUUCAAACAGUUGGCAACUUCCAACCAUGGCAGAGAACCUCCUUUAUGAUAUGGAUAGUACUACAAGUCCAUCCUCUUCUGAUUCAGAUAGCUCACCAUCAAACCAACCACACACUCCUAGUGCCAAGUUGGUUCCUGUUCAAGGUCUUGACUUAGAGCAGAAGUCAGCGACAGAAAAGUCCUCGAGUUAUUUGGCGAAAUCAAAUAAUAUUCAUAUCAGUUCUCAAUCAGCAACUCCUCUUAAAGAACUAUCUACUAACCAGAAGCUCAAAAUGCCUUCUUCUCCAAAACAAAGACAGUUGUCAUCAGUUAGGGGGGACUUCAAAAAGAGUAAAAGGCGAAUUCCAAGUGCAUCAAAAGGAGCAGCUUCUCAGAAAAGAUGGGUAUAGAUGGUAAGUGCUGUGCAACUUUUAUGAUUUGUAAUUGAUUCUCUUUCAACUAGUUACACUUUUAGUUUAAUUACUUCUUGCUAUAUAAUCAUAGAGGAAAUCUUCCAAGUUGGAAAUGCAACAUAUCCAAACUCAUUUACUGGACAUAGCGUAUGUCUAAUGUUACUAACUUGCUAUCAAAAUUUUAGGAAGUUUAUCAUGAAAUUAUCGUACUUCUAAUACAUCAUAGAUUUUCCCGGGGUGAAGAUCCCGUACUUCCAUUUUCUAAUUAAUAAAAAUUACCUAGUGUCUGCAUUGUAUGCUAUCAAAACAAAAUCGGUGUUGCAACAAAUGCAACAAAAUCCAGAGUCAGUUUACUGUUUUGGUAGGAAUAGACCAAAGUAACUUUGUCAGAUAUAUUCUUUUUCUGAAUAUGAAAUCUUAGAAAGUUACCAUAGGGUGGAGUUUUACCAUAUACACCUUCGAUGUAUCAUUGAUCUUCUCAGGCAGGAGGCAUAUAAUGCCAACUUGCCAAGUGCAAAUUCUAAAUUUGCAGAGUAACAAUUUAAACAGCUCGAUGAUGAAAUUUGGGAUGUGGAGAACAGAUUCUUAGCGUGCAAAUCACCAUGGAAAUUCGUUGAGUAGGCAAUAGACCCUCCUUCAGACUGUCUGGAGUCUUGGCUCUUGAAUUCUCAUUACUGGAAUGAUACUUCAAUCUUUGGAUUCUUAGAUGAUAUACAUGAUCAUCAGGAUUCAGCUGCAAAAUAUAUUUGCAGUUCGGAGGGAAUUCGUCAGAGUAAUAUGAACUGAUAUCCUGGCCAGAGAUUAACAAGGGUAUAUAUAUAUAUAUAUAUAGGUGCAUCGU
Non-coding RNA from Carica papaya (papaya), 3810 nucleotides. The record is from RefSeq and is a predicted model, not a curated record. Lineage: Eukaryota; Viridiplantae; Streptophyta; Magnoliopsida; Brassicales; Caricaceae.